AUAUAUAUAGUGUAUGUUGCACUUAAAGUUUUGAUCUUUGCAGCUAUGGUUAAAUUCCAUUUAUAUAUA
Molecule: transfer RNA, 69 nt
Filed under: Megacopta cribraria (bean plataspid)
Lineage: Eukaryota; Metazoa; Arthropoda; Insecta; Hemiptera; Plataspidae
Description: tRNA-Gln
Source: RNAcentral